GACGAACGCUGGCGGCGUGCUUAACACAUGCAAGUCGAACGGAAAGGCCCUGCUUUUGUGGGGUGCUCGAGUGGCGAACGGGUGAGUAACACGUGAGUAACCUGCCCUUGACUUUGGGAUAACUUCAGGAAACUGGGGCUAAUACCGGAUAGGAGCUCCUGCUGCAUGGUGGGGGCUGGAAAGUUUCGGCGGUUGGGGAUGGACUCGCGGCUUAUCAGCUUGUUGGUGGGGUAGUGGCUUACCAAGGCUUUGACGGGUAGCCGGCCUGAGAGGGUGACCGGCCACAUUGGGACUGAGAUACGGCCCAGACUCCUACGGGAGGCAGCAGUGGGGAAUAUUGCACAAUGGGCGGAAGCCUGAUGCAGCAACGCCGCGUGCGGGAUGACGGCCUUCGGGUUGUAAACCGCUUUCGCCUGUGACGAAGCGUGAGUGACGGUAAUGGGUAAAGAAGUACCGGCUAACUACGUG
RNAcentral lists this ribosomal RNA (468 nucleotides) under uncultured bacterium. Its description in RNAcentral is "partial 16S ribosomal RNA". It matches the Rfam family "Bacterial small subunit ribosomal RNA", at positions 28 to 507 of the family's 1533-position model. The record is from RNAcentral.